This 485-nucleotide long non-coding RNA is filed under the name Gallus gallus (chicken). Lineage: Eukaryota; Metazoa; Chordata; Aves; Galliformes; Phasianidae. The record is from RNAcentral.
GCAGCUUGGAGGCACCGCUGGCGCGGGGGGCAGUGCCGGACCCCCCCGUCUUGACGUUGAAGACCAUGAGCGGCCGCUCCUCCCUCCUCUGCCAGGGGCUUUUGCGGUCCCCCCCGUCGUCGCCGCCCUCUCCGCCGUCGCCCGCCUCGUCCUCGGGGCUGCUGGGGGAGUCCCGGGGGGGCUCGGAGGCGCUGCUGCGCCCGCUGCCGCCGCCGCCGCCGCCCCCCGCCCCGCGGCGCCCCGCGGGGGGACCCCCGAGCAGCGGGGCCAGGGCGCUGUCCUCGGGCGACGGGGGGCCGCGGGGCGGGGGGGGGCCGCGCGCGGGGCGGGGGGGGCGCUCUGUCGCCGCCCUGCAGGUCGAUGUAGGAGUGGCGGACGUGGGACGCGCGGCCGUCCAGGGACACGAACCAGGCGCGGGGCGCCACCAGCUUCUGCUCGGCCAGCGCCUGCAGCUCCCCGUUCAGCUGCGCCACCGCCGACUCGUU